CCUCUCUUAGCUCAGUCGGUAGAGCAGUGGACUGUAGUUCCAAUGGUCACUAGUUCGAUUCUAGUAGAGAGGA
Molecule: transfer RNA, 73 nt
Filed under: Micromonas pusilla virus 12T
Lineage: Varidnaviria; Bamfordvirae; Nucleocytoviricota; Megaviricetes; Algavirales; Phycodnaviridae
Rfam family: tRNA
About the family: Transfer RNA (tRNA) molecules are approximately 80 nucleotides in length. Their secondary structure includes four short double-helical elements and three loops (D, anti-codon, and T loops). Further hydrogen bonds mediate the characteristic L-shaped molecular structure. tRNAs have two regions of fundamental functional importance: the anti-codon, which is responsible for specific mRNA codon recognition, and the 3' end, to which the tRNAs corresponding amino acid is attached (by aminoacyl-tRNA synthetases). tRNAs cope with the degeneracy of the genetic code in two manners: having more than one tRNA (with a specific anti-codon) for a particular amino acid; and 'wobble' base-pairing, i.e. permitting non-standard base-pairing at the 3rd anti-codon position.
Source: Rfam by way of RNAcentral